RNAcentral lists this ribosomal RNA (441 nucleotides) under uncultured ammonia-oxidizing bacterium. RNAcentral's name for it is "bacterial SSU rRNA". It matches the Rfam family "Bacterial small subunit ribosomal RNA", at positions 212 to 645 of the family's 1533-position model. The record is from RNAcentral.
CUUGCGCUUUUGGAGCGGCCGAUGUCUGAUUAGCUAGUUGGUGAGGUAAAGGCUUACCAAGGCUUCGAUCAGUAGCUGGUCUGAGAGGACGACCAGCCACACUGGGACUGAGACACGGCCCAGACUCCUACGGGAGGCAGCAGUGGGGAAUUUUGGACAAUGGGGGAAACCCUGAUCCAGCCAUGCCGCGUGAGUGAAGAAGGCCUUCGGGUUGUAAAGCUCUUUCAGCCGGAACGAAACGGUCACGGCUAAUACCUGUGAUCACUGACGGUACCGGAAGAAGAAGCACCGGCUAACUACGUGCCAGCAGCCGCGGUAAUACGUAGGGUGCGAGCGUUAAUCGGAAUUACUGGGCGUAAAGCGUGCGCAGGCGGUUUUGUAAGUCAGAUGUGAAAUCCCCGGGCUUAACCUGGGAACUGCGUUUGAAACUACAAGGCUAGA